AGUCGAGCGGUAACAGAAAGUAGCUUGCUACUUUGCUGACGAGCGGCGGACGGGUGAGUAAUGCUUGGGAACAUGCCUUGAGGUGGGGGACAACAGUUGGAAACGACUGCUAAUACCGCAUAAUGUCUACGGACCAAAGGGGGCUUCGGCUCUCGCCUUUAGAUUGGCCCAAGUGGGAUUAGCUAGUUGGUGAGGUAAUGGCUCACCAAGGCGACGAUCCCUAGCUGGUUUGAGAGGAUGAUCAGCCACACUGGGACUGAGACACGGCCCAGACUCCUACGGGAGGCAGCAGUGGGGAAUAUUGCACAAUGGGCGCAAGCCUGAUGCAGCCAUGCCGCGUGUGUGAAGAAGGCCUUCGGGUUGUAAAGCACUUUCAGUCAGGAGGAAAGGUUAGUAGUUAAUACCUGCUAGCUGUGACGUUACUGACAGAAGAAGCACCGGCUAACUCCGUGCCAGCAGCCGCGGUAAUACGGAGGGUGCGAGCGUUAAUCGGAAUUACUGGGCGUAAAGCGUACGCAGGCGGUUUGUUAAGCGAGAUGUGAAAGCCCCGGGCUCAACCUGGGAACUGCAUUUCGAACUGGCAAACUAGAGUGUGAUAGAGGGUGGUAGAAUUUCAGGUGUAGCGGUGAAAUGCGUAGAGAUCUGAAGGAAUACCGAUGGCGAAGGCAGCCACCUGGGUCAACACUGACGCUCAUGUACGAAAGCGUGGGGAGCAAACGGGAUUAGAUACCCCGGUAGUCCACGCCGUAAACGAUGUCUACUAGAAGCUCGGAGCCUCGGUUCUGUUUUUCAAAGCUAACGCAUUAAGUAGACCGCCUGGGGAGUACGGCCGCAAGGUUAAAACUCAAAUGAAUUGACGGGGGCCCGCACAAGCGGUGGAGCAUGUGGUUUAAUUC
Molecule: ribosomal RNA, 896 nt
Filed under: Pseudoalteromonas sp.
Lineage: Bacteria; Pseudomonadati; Pseudomonadota; Gammaproteobacteria; Alteromonadales; Pseudoalteromonadaceae
Description: bacterial SSU rRNA
Rfam family: Bacterial small subunit ribosomal RNA
Source: RNAcentral